Molecule: ribosomal RNA, 468 nt
Filed under: uncultured bacterium
Lineage: Bacteria
Description: partial 16S ribosomal RNA
Rfam family: Bacterial small subunit ribosomal RNA
Source: RNAcentral
GACGAACGCUGGCGGCGUGCUUAACACAUGCAAGUCGAACGGAAAGGCCCUGCUUUUGUGGGGUGCUCGAGUGGCGAACGGGUGAGUAACACGUGAGUAACCUGCCCUUGACUUUGGGAUAACUUCAGGAAACUGGGGCUAAUACCGGAUAGGAGCUCCUGCUGCAUGUUGGGGGUUGGAAAGUUUCGGCGGUUGGGGAUGGACUCGCGGCUUAUCAGCUUGUUUGUGGGGUAGUGGCUUACCAAGGCUUUGACGGGUAGCCGGCCUGAGAGGGUGAACGGCCACAUUGGGACUGAGGUACGGCCCAGACUCCUACGGGAGGCAGCAGUGGGGAAUAUUGCAGAAUGGGCGGAAGCCUGAUGCAGCAACGUCGCGUGCGGGAUGCCGGCUUUCGGGUUGUAAACCGAUUUCGCCUGUGACGAAGAGUGAGUGACGGUAAUGGGUAAAGAAGCACCGGCUAACUACGUG